This 273-nucleotide long non-coding RNA is filed under the name Mytilus galloprovincialis (Mediterranean mussel). The record is from RNAcentral. Lineage: Eukaryota; Metazoa; Mollusca; Bivalvia; Mytilida; Mytilidae.
CACGCAAUGAGAGAACAAGGAGCCAGUGAUACGUAUAUUCUUGACGACAGAUAAAACAUAGAUUUGCAAAGUAUGCCAUCAAAAUCAUGCAGUGUGUUUCAACUCCAGAAGACGACGGAGAAAGGCUUUUUUUUAACGUACGAACGCUAUAUUUCGUAUCGUCUAGUAGAUUACGUGGACUUGGGCACUGGAAACGGUGCAGGUGGUUUUGCGUCGAUGUCAAAGAAUCAUGGGUUUACAGCUGAAACCAUGACACUAGAUUUUUAAAACCGC